This 28-nucleotide non-coding RNA is filed under the name Homo sapiens (human). Lineage: Eukaryota; Metazoa; Chordata; Mammalia; Primates; Hominidae. The record is from RNAcentral.
UACCCCAGAGCAAACCGAUGGUCAGGGA